This 253-nucleotide ribosomal RNA is filed under the name uncultured bacterium. RNAcentral's name for it is "partial 16S ribosomal RNA". It matches the Rfam family "Bacterial small subunit ribosomal RNA", at positions 524 to 776 of the family's 1533-position model. The record is from RNAcentral.
AACGUAGGAGACAAACGUUAUCCGGAGUUACUGGGCGUAAAGGGCGUGUAGGUGGUUGUAUAAGUCUGGCGUGAAAUUUUUCGGCUUAACCGGGAAAGGUCGUCGGAUACUGCACAACUAGAGGACGGUAGAGGCGUGUGGAAUUCCGGGUGUAGUGGUGAAAUGCGUAGAGAUCCGGAGGAACACCAGUGGCGAAGGCGACACGCUGGGCCGUACCUGACACUGAUGCGCGACAGCAUGGGGAGCAAACAGG